RNAcentral lists this transfer RNA (91 nucleotides) under Nitrososphaerota archaeon. Its description in RNAcentral is "Thaumarchaeota archaeon tRNA-Thr". It matches the Rfam family "tRNA". From Rfam's summary of the family: Transfer RNA (tRNA) molecules are approximately 80 nucleotides in length. Their secondary structure includes four short double-helical elements and three loops (D, anti-codon, and T loops). The record is from RNAcentral. RNAcentral also lists the same sequence under 1 other name. Lineage: Archaea; Thermoproteati; Nitrososphaerota.
GCCUCGGUAGCUUAGCCUGGUAAAGCACGUGCCUUGUAAGCACGAGAUCGAGGGAUCGAAAUGGGACUGCACGAGAUGCCCUCCCGAGGCU